AUUGAACGCUGGCGGCAGGCUUAACACAUGCAAGUCGAGCGGGGUGAUGGUGCUUGCACUAUCACUUAGCGGCGGACGGGUGAGUAAUGCUUAGGAAUCUGCCUAUUAGUGGGGGACAACAUCUCGAAAGGGAUGCUAAUACCGCAUACGUCCUACGGGAGAAAGCAGGGGAUCACUUGUGACCUUGCGCUAAUAGAUGAGCCUAAGUCGGAUUAGCUAGUUGGUGGGGUAAAGGCCUACUAAGGCGACGAUCUGUAGCGGGUCUGAGAGGAUGAUCCGCCACACUGGGACUGAGACACGGCCCAGACUCCUACGGGAGGCAGCAGUGGGGAAUAUUGGACAAUGGGGGGAACCCUGAUCCAGCCAUGCCGCGUGUGUGAAGUAGGCCUUAUGGUUGUAAAGCACUUUAAGCGAGGAGGAGGCUCUUUUGGUUAAUACCCAAGAUGAGUGGACGUUACUCGCAGAAUAAGCACCGGCUAACUCUGUGCCAGCCGCCGCGGUAA
RNAcentral lists this ribosomal RNA (503 nucleotides) under uncultured bacterium. RNAcentral describes it as "partial 16S ribosomal RNA". It matches the Rfam family "Bacterial small subunit ribosomal RNA", at positions 30 to 523 of the family's 1533-position model. The record is from RNAcentral.